ACUACGGGGGGCAGCAGUGAGGAAUAUUGGUCAAUGGGCGCGAGCCUGAACCAGCCAAGUAGCGUGAAGGAUGACUGCCCUACGGGUUGUAAACUUCUUUUAUACAGGAAUAAAGUGAGGCACGUGUGCCUUUUUGUAUUUACUUUAUGAAUAAGGAUCGGCUAACUCCGUGCCAUCAGCCGCGGUAAUACGGAGGAUCCGAGCGUUAGCCGUAUUUAUUGGGUUUAAAGGGUGCGUAGGCGGUCGGAUAAGUUAGAGGUGAAAUCCCGAGGCUCAACUUCGGAAUUGCCUCAGAUACUGUACGGCUAGAGAGUAGUUGCGGUAGGCGGAAUGUAUGGUGUAGCGGUGAAAGGCUUAGAGAUCAUACAGAACACCGAUUGCGAAGGCAGCUUACCAAGCUACUUCUGACGUUGAGGCACGAAAGCGUGGGGAGCAAACAGGAUUAGAUACCCCAGUAGGC
RNAcentral lists this ribosomal RNA (460 nucleotides) under uncultured bacterium. Its description in RNAcentral is "partial 16S ribosomal RNA". It matches the Rfam family "Bacterial small subunit ribosomal RNA", at positions 338 to 795 of the family's 1533-position model. The record is from RNAcentral.